AACAGCUCAAAUUUGAAAUCUGGCGCAAGCCCGAGUUGUAAUUUGUAGAGGAUGCUUCAGGGCAGCGGCCGGUCUAAGUUCCUUGGAACAGGACGUCAUAGAGGGUGAGAAUCCCGUAUGCGACCGGUUGGCACCCGUCACGUAGCUCCUUCGACGAGUCGAGUUGUUUGGGAAUGCAGCUCUAAAUGGGAGGUAAAUUUCUUCUAAAGCUAAAUACCGGCCAGAGACCGAUAGCGCACAAGUAGAGUGAUCGAAAGAUGAAAAGCACUUUGGAAAGAGAGUUAAAAAGCACGUGAAAUUGUUGAAAGGGAAGCGCAUGCAACCAGACUCGUCGGCGGUGUUCCGCCGGUCUUCUGACCGGUCUAUUCGCCGCCGGCGGGCCAGCAUCACUUGGGGGCGCCGGAUAAAGGCGCGGGGAAUGUGGCCCCUCGGGGUGUUAUAGCCCCGCGCACAAUACGGCGACCCGCGAGUGAGGUCCGCGCUUCGGCUAGGAUGCUGGCGUAAUGGUUGUCUGCGGCCCGUCUUGAAACACGGACCAAGGAGUCUAACAUCUAUGCGAGUGUUCGGGUGUCAAACCCCUGCGCGUAAUGAAAGUGAACGGAGGUGGGAGCUUAGGCGCACCAUCGACCGAUCCUGAUGUCUUCGGAUGGAUUUGAGUAAGAGCAUAGCUGUUGGGACCCGAAAGAUGGUGAACUAUGCCUGAAUAGGGUGAAGCCAGAGGAAACUCUGGUGGAGG
RNAcentral lists this ribosomal RNA (736 nucleotides) under Teratosphaericola pseudoafricana. RNAcentral's name for it is "eukaryotic LSU rRNA". It matches the Rfam family "Eukaryotic large subunit ribosomal RNA", at positions 103 to 873 of the family's 3401-position model. Lineage: Eukaryota; Fungi; Ascomycota; Dothideomycetes; Mycosphaerellales; Teratosphaeriaceae. The record is from RNAcentral.